ACCAGUUAUUAUCCGGCCUCAGUUGGGUAUCGAUUUUAUACAAAUGUUAAAGUACCUGAUACUGUUAUCAACAUUUCAAACAAAUCGCCGACGCCUUAAUAGUAUGAUGGUCUAAUAGUUAAUAAAAGUUGUGUAACUUUAUUUUGUUUAUGAUAUCGAAGACGGAUUUAAUAAAAAAAUGGAUUACAGGCUCAUCCGGAUAGCAGUCUUAUUACUUACUGUUAAAACGGCGAACAUGGUUGAAUCGUUGAAAAACGGCGAUGAGUGCGUGUGUUCAACAGGGGCUAUAAAAGAUUUAUCCAGGGCUACAGCUACGACAACGCAAACGCUACCUCCAAAGUCUAGCAAGAAUGUAACAACGAGCACACAACCGUCAACAGAAAAGGAAGGAUAUUCCAAAUCGGCAACAUCAAAAAUAACAACAGCAACACAAAUGAGUACCAAGCAACCUGCUACAAACGCAUCAAUUUCAGAAACACACACAACACCCAACGGUAGCAGUGAAUCCACAUCAACAUUACAAUCAACUGCAACGACAUCAUCAACAACAUCAACACCAACGUCAACUACAACACCAACAAAUACAUCAACAACAACACCAUCAACAACAACAUCAAUUACAACACCAACAACAAUAUCAACAACAACACCAUCAACAACAACAACAUCAUCAACUACAACAACACCAUCAACAACAACACCAUCAACAACAACACCAACACCAUCAACAACAUCAACAAAAACAACAUCAACAACAACACCAUCAACAACAACAUCAACAACACCAUCAACAACAACACCAUCAACAACAACACCAUCAUCAGCAUCAUCAUCAUCAACAACACCAUCAACAACACCAUCAACAACAACACCAACAACAACAACAUCAACAACAACAUCAACACCAUCAUUACCAUCAACAACAACAUCAACAACAACACCAAUAAUACCAUCAACAACAACACCAAUAAUACCAUCAACAACAAUAUCAACAACAAUACCAUCAACAACAACACCAUCAACAACAACACCAUCGACAACAACACCAUCAACAACAACACCAUCAACAACAACACCAUCAACAACAACACCAUCAACAACAACAAAAUCAACAACAACAAAAUCAACAACAACACCAACAAUAACAUCAACAACAACAAAAUCAACAACAACAACACCAUCAACAACAACACCAUCAACAACAACACCAUCAACAACAACACCAUCAACAACAACACCAACAACAUCAACAACAACAAAAUCAACAACAACAACAUCAACACAAUCAACAACAACAAAAACAACAACACCAUCAACAACAACAUCAACAACAACAACACCAUCAACAACAACACCAUCGACAACAACACCAUCAACAACAACACCAUCAACAACAACACCAUCAACAACAACACCAUCAACAACAACACCAUCAACAACAACACCAUCAACAACAACACCAUCAACAACAACACCAUCAACAACAACACAAUCAACAACAACACCAGCAAUAACAUCAACAACAACAAAAUCAACAACAACAACAUCAACACAAUCAACAACAACAAAAACAACAACACCAUCAACAACAACAACACCAUCAACAACAACAUCAUCAACAACAACAGCAGCAAAACCAUCAACAACAUCAUCAACAACAACAACACCAUCAACAACAACAUCCACAACCUCAAAAACAACACCGUCAAUUACACCAAAUAGAAGACGAAGACGGUCUUCCGAAGAAAAUUUUGGUGUGUGGACUAAUGGAAAAUGCUGGUGUGACGGUACCGUGGAAACCCAUAGCAUCGCUGAUGUAAAAAUUGCAGUGCCUCUGCAGGCUAAGAUCGCAGUCAACUUCUCGGAAGAAUUAGAAAACAAAACAUCGGCAAAAUUUAUGGAAUAUCAAACACAAUUCCGAACAGCGCUGACAGACAAGUUCAAAGAUAUCAAAGGAUUCCAAUACGUUCUUGUCCAAAAUUUCACAAAUGGUAGUGUCGUUUGCAACUACGAGGUUGUGUUUCAAGGAACUGAUCUUGCUGAAGAAGCGGAGAACAAUCAUAGAGGUUUUAAUAAAAGUUUACACGUCACUGUCGGUAACAAAAGCUUACAAGUGGAAAUUAAUGACGAUGCUAUCAAAGCCAUUUUCCAACAAGCCGCAAAUAACUCGGGAUGCCAGUUUCUUCAGAACCCAUGUGGUAAGAAUGACGCGACACAAUGUGAUUCAGGCAUCAUAUUAUGUGUUCAACCAUGUGGUCAGCCCGGGGCCAUCAGUUGUGGCGAAUAUGGUUCUUGCUUUUACGACCAGAGAACGCAGUCAACCGCGUGCAGAUGCGACGAAAGCGACACACAUGUCUUUAGUGGUAAACAUUGCGAGGUGAGGGUGGAGAGACUACAACUGGAGUCCAAGUAUAUCAUUUCCAUAGCAGCCAGCGCGGGCGGUGUUGUAGUGAUCGCUGCGACGGUGGUCAUCGUGUGUCUUGUAUACAGGCUGAGAAGAAAGGCAGUAAUGGAUGCAGACGAAAGCGGAGAAGACAUUGCGCUAGAUAACCUAAAAAGAUCAAGUCGGACACAAUCCGAGAACAGUUACGAGAAGUUCAGAGGGCGGCACAUAUCAAAAGAGGCGACUUCAAACGGCUCCAUUGGUGACCUCAAAAGGUCAGAGGAAACGAGGGUACUGGACGGCAUUGAUCACAAAGUGACAAGGGACGACAAAGGCAAUGAGAUGUACAUCUACCAGCCAAAGCAGCCACGUGACCUCGGUCGACAGCGUCAGUCAUCCGUGUACUCGUCUGCGUCAGAGGACAACGCGCAGACCGGAAGUAGCAUGUACGACUAUAUUGACACCGAGACGAAGUAUCAAAUCCGCCGACCAAAUGUCAGCAUUAGAACCAUUCGCAUAUGAGAUGGAACAUUCAGCAAAAAAGUAUUGUGUACACAAUGAACGGCAUUAUAAGUGACAAUUUUACGAUACACAAUUGGGCUGUCAAUCGUGCGACGCCUUAAAUUACUCGAACGUUCAAAAGGGCAAUAUAGGCAUAAUAAGUGAAAAUUCUACGAAACAGCAUUGAACUAUUAAUGGUUUAAUGCAUUGGAUCACUUAAACGUUCAAAAGUUGAAUAUAGGCAUAGUGACAAUUAUACGAAACAGCAUUGAGCUAUUAUGUUUGACGCAUACAAUUGCUUUUACGUCAAAAAGGCGUUUACGGAAAUAAAAAUGAUAACAAGAGAUAAUUCAAAAAAGCCUUGACCUUUAUUGAGCAUUUCACACAAUCCAUAUUGAAUAGUUAUUAAUAAUUGUUAGGUCAAAUGUAGCAUUUGAUAUUUUGGUUUGCGUGUUUUCCUACGCAGUUUUUACUUUCUUGUUAUCAAUCAGACAGCAUAUGAAACGAAUGUUAAUUAUAUGUUAUAAGUCAAAAUGUUAUGUAUGUAUAAAACUAAUAUUGCUAAUACACGUUUGCAUGAUUGUUCAUAAUAACUCCAUUUUGUUUAUACCCGUACGUUUGAAUUUUUCAAUUGUGUUGUUUUUUUGCAUCACGAGAUACUGUACUGUUUCCGACAAAAGAAUCGUUAACCGAUUAGAAUUUCUAACUGAUGUGAGGUUUUCAGUGGCCUCCACUUAAACGUAAGAUAUGUUUUUUAUCAAGGGAGACACAUGCGGAAUGUUUACUGUUUAACAUAGGUGGAGAGAACAAGAGUGGAAUGUGGGGGCAUGUAUACUAUCAAUCUUUGCUAAGUGCUUACCUUUUAUCAGGUGAAUUCUUCAACAACUGCGCUUAAGGGCCAAAAUGGCCCUCUAGUGACAUGAUUACUAAAUCAACCAUACAUGGUAUAUAUCAUGUUUAUGUUCAAUAAAAUAUAUAUUGUAUCUUUUAUUAAAACUAUGUACCGGCAAAUUUUUUAUAUAUCACAAGGGUUUGAGUACUCAUACUGGUUUUAAUUUGUAUUUUGAACUAAAAAUACCAGCCUUUUGUUCAUUAUUGUUUCACAUUUUAGGAUAUAUGUCUUGUUUCAUCUUUUUUUUAAGUUUUCCCCACGAUCAACAUUCGCCUCAUUAAAUGCGUAAACACGUACAAAUUCA
This is an RNA transcript of Dreissena polymorpha, 4080 nucleotides long. It is a transcript of the gene named mucin-5AC-like, with no coding region annotated. The record is from RefSeq and is a predicted model, not a curated record. Lineage: Eukaryota; Metazoa; Mollusca; Bivalvia; Myida; Dreissenidae. The transcript has 13 exons.